Molecule: ribosomal RNA, 200 nt
Filed under: uncultured bacterium
Lineage: Bacteria
Description: partial 16S ribosomal RNA
Rfam family: Bacterial small subunit ribosomal RNA
Source: RNAcentral
UACGAAGGGUGCAAGCGUUGUUCGGAAUUAUUGGGCGUAAAGAGUACGUAGGCGGCUUAGUAAGUUGACUGUGAAAGCCCCAGGCUCAACCUGGGAAUUGCAGCCAAAACUGCUUCGCUAGAGUUUGGUAGGGGAUAAUGGAAUUCCUAGUGUAGGGGUGAAAUCCGUAGAUAUUAGGAGGAAUAUCGGUGGCGAAGGCG